This 451-nucleotide ribosomal RNA is filed under the name uncultured organism. Its description in RNAcentral is "partial 16S ribosomal RNA". It matches the Rfam family "Bacterial small subunit ribosomal RNA", at positions 331 to 798 of the family's 1533-position model. The record is from RNAcentral.
GUACACUCCUACGGGAGGCAGCAGUGGGGAAUAUUGGACAAUGGGCGCAAGCCUGAUCCAGCCAUGCCGCGUGAGUGAUGAAGGCCCUAGGGUUGUAAAGCUCUUUCACCGGUGAAGAUAAUGACGGUAACCGGAGAAGAAGCCCCGGCUAACUUCGUGCCAGCAGCCGCGGUAAUACGAAGGGGGCUAGCGUUGUUCGGAUUUACUGGGCGUAAAGCGCACGUAGGCGGACUAUUAAGUCAGGGGUGAAAUCCCGGGGCUCAACCCCGGAACUGCCUUUGAUACUGGUAGUCUUGAGUUCGAGAGAGGUGAGUGGAAUUCCGAGUGUAGAGGUGAAAUUCGUAGAUAUUCGGAGGAACACCAGUGGCGAAGGCGGCUCACUGGCUCGAUACUGACGCUGAGGUGCGAAAGCGUGGGGAGCAAACAGGAUUAGAUACCCGGGUAGUCCCAU